CCUACGGGGGGCUGCAGUGAGGAAUAUUGGUCAAUGGGCGCGAGCCUGAACCAGCCAAGUCGCGUGAGGGAAGACGGUCCUAUGGAUUGUAAACCUCUUUUGUCGGGGAGCAAAAGACGCCACGCGUGGCGUUCCGAGAGUACCCGAACAAAAAGCAUCGGCAAACUCCGUGCCAGCAGCCGCGGUAAUACGGGGGAUGCGAGCGUUAUCCGGAUUUAUUGGGUUUAAGGGGUGCGCAGGCGGAAGAUCAAGUCAGCGGUAAAAUUGAGAGGCUCAACCUCUUCGAGCCGUUGAAACUGGUUUGCUUGAGUGAGCGAGAGGUAUGCGGAAUGCGAGGUGUAGCGGUGAAAUGCAUAGAUAUCACGCAGAACUCCGAUUGCGAAGGCAGCAUACCGGCGCUCAACUGACGCUCAUGCACGAAAGUGUGGGGAUCGAACAGGAUUAGAUACCCUAGUAGUC
RNAcentral lists this ribosomal RNA (459 nucleotides) under uncultured bacterium. Its description in RNAcentral is "partial 16S ribosomal RNA". It matches the Rfam family "Bacterial small subunit ribosomal RNA", at positions 338 to 795 of the family's 1533-position model. The record is from RNAcentral.